AGUCUUUGGAAGACAUUUAUACACAAGCAAAUUCAAUCAGAAUUUCAUGGAUGAAACAUCCAAAAAUCUCAUCUCCAAAGCAAUAGACUUAAUCACACAUCUGAUUUUUGAAGUGAAAUUAGAUGCAUUUGUUCAGCUGUGGCUGUGGAUGGACUGGACCCCAUUGUACUACAAGCCAGCAGGGAGUCAGGGAGUCUGCUAAUCCCUGCUACAAACAGGAAACGGCAUGGAAGAGGAUUAUGAAGCAUUCAAACAUUGCUAACUAGUCAGAGAAAAUACAAUGUUAAGAAUCAAAUCUAGACAAAGUGCAUCAUUCAUCUAGUUAAAGAAAUUCCUUCUCCUCAAGACCCAGAAGAUUGUGAGCUACAUGUGAAGAGAAAUACUAUUUAGCAUCAAGUCUUGUUUCCACUGAAAUCACUGAUACUGAUGAGUGAUGUCUUUGGGGAAUAGAAAAACAGACUUGCUAAAGUUGUUUGUGUGUUGUUGCUGUUGCUUAAUUUCUUUAACUAUUAAAAGGACUUUCUUUAAAAAUAUAAAAAACCUUCCAAAAUGCCAUGUUUUCACUGUUGCUUCAUGAGUCAUACCAGAUAAUAAGCCACAGACUCAUGUAUACUUGGUUUUAAGCAUUGGCUAACAAGUUGAUACAACACAUCAUUUAUACAAUGAUCUGUUUAAUACACUACAGCUAUAAAAUACUUGUCAAUUAACAGACCUUAAUGACUGACCCAGAACACCUAUAUCCACAUCCUUCAGAUAUUUUUCACCAAAUUUUACACAAUUACAAAAAUAUACCAAAUUUUUAGUGAAAUCAUAUUGUAUACCCUUCACCCUUUUCUGUGGCCAGCCCUGUAACUAAAGAAAAACCCAAAACCGAAGACCAACCAGCCAAGAAAACUUGUUUUCAUCUACUCAGAAACAGGGAGAACUGUAAAGAGAGAAACAACCAGAUGUCUUGCUAAGUAAUGUCCAUUGUACAUCAAGCAAUUGUUUCAACCUUCUUACUCUACGAAAUAACACAACACACGCAUAAUAUUCUCACUCUACCUAGUUGUAUUCAGGAAAACGGUCUGGAAUAUAUAGGAUGAAUUUAUGCCCUGAAAUCAAUGGAAUUUUUCUUACAAGAUCUAAACAACUUUUAGUCCUUCAGAAAGGUAAACCAAAACAAAUUCAGAAAUAACCCACACAGGAUUUGUUCCCCUUGUUAUCAUAAUAUUUAUAGAUGAACACCGUCAGCAUACAUUAGACAAAUGAAUGUGAAUGCCAGAUCCCCUAUGCAAGCACAACUUUGCAGAACAGUUUAAAAGAAUUUUGAUGGAUAAGAUAAGCAUUUUAACAAGUGGAACUUAUCUUUUUACACAGUAGGAGGGGUAAACAAGGAUGGAUGGGAUGUAGCAUUUUCUGCAUUAUUUUUUAAAAAUUCCUUGCCUGUUUUAACAUUUGCACUCUCAUGGUCUGAACCUUUCUUGGGAUUUUGCAGCGCUAAAAGGCAUUUUAGAGAGCCUAUAGAGUAAAUUUUACAAGGUCAAUUAGAAGGGAAAGGGAAAUGUGUGUGAUUUUUCCAAUGUCAUUUCUAUGCAGGAGGUGAGCGCAGCUGUACAUUGCCAUUUUUUUUUCAGCACUUGACUUAUUGCUGUUCAUAUUUUCAAUGCAGUUGCAUGAGGAAAAGAAGUAGAAACUCUUAUUUACUCAUUUUUAAAGGCAAGACUCUCUGUUAAAAGGGCCCUCUAACUAGAGGGUUAGUCUCCUAGGCUCUAAAUAAGGUCUCCUCUAAAUAGAUGUUUACAUUGUAAAUUUCUGCUACUAAACCCAGUUGCCCAAGUUUUAUGGGCAACCUGAAAUCCAGAUGAAGUUUGCUGAAAAAGUGACAGACAAAGCUUGGAAAUGUCAAUAGAAUAUCAGAUUGCAGGAUAUCUGCAAGUGGCAGGAAUUCAGGUGCACACUCAUGGCAAAAAGUGCACGUGGCUUUUGGCAAGAUGUCUUUUGCUGGUGUGUAUUCUGAUCUUAUAAUACAGAAAACAGAAAGCAUUGCCUUGAACAGGAAUCAGACUUGCUGAACUAUUACCCAGAAAUUUUGUCUCAUCCAGUGGUGCUCAUUCAACUAAGAACAGGCCUCGUGCCAGGUCCUGUGGGAGACCAAGGACACAGAAAGUUGGCUUUGGGUCCAGCAGGCCAAUUUGUGACAAAUCAAAAUCAAAAUUGUGACCUCUGUUGGAGUGGAGAAUGAGAUAAAGUUGCUACCUUCCAGUUGUUCCUGUUUGUCCCUCAAAGCUCUUUGCAAACUGCUAGUUUUGACCACCUUACACUACUCAAAUAAUACAGUUUGAGGAAACUGCAAGCACACUGACUGCAGAUCUGAAAUGUGGGUUGCAUCUUGCAUGCAGUUUUAGAGGACAUCUGUCUCCAUGACAGAAGAAAGGAGGAAGGACUGCCCUUUUUCUUGCCCUUUUUCUAAGCUGCACUUCUGUGUAUGAAAGAGACAAAACAUCCUUUGAACUUUCAACCUAUAAAAGCAACUCUAGUGGCAAAUGACCCUGUCAUGGUCCCAGGCUGGGCGAAUGGUGAAACUAUAAAUAAAAGGACAUUGUGAGUGUAAAUGCAGUGAGUGGGAAAGAACACAGCAACAGCUGGAGCAGACACCUACAGUGACCUUCUGUUUGAAGAGCUCUAUAAACAAAAUGAGAUGGUCUUAAAAUGUAUAGUGAUGUUGUGGCCAUCUUUCUCGUGGGCAAUCAGAAGGGCAGCCAAAACUAGAGCAACAUAAAAAUGAGGAUCAAACAAGCCAUUUGGGCUUUCUCUGCAACUCCUUGUCUGUACAGAACUGUAUGGCUGCAACCAGCACUGUCAGCCAACAAACAAGUACUCCAGAUGGGUUUCCUCUGUCUCUUAUAAAAAUAAACCAAUAUAUUAAAAACCAAUAAAACUCUCAUGCUGACAAAUGAAUUACCCAGGGAUAGCUCUUCAGAAAAUUAUAGCAAUUCUGCAAAGGAGAGAGCCAAAAAACAAUUUUCAAUGUUUCUUAUGUCUCUCCCUCUCUGUGACAAAGAUUUAUGAUAGUCUUUGAAGAUACAAGCCAUUACAUCUCUGUUUAAAACUCCUAAGUGUCAUAGAGGUAAAAGGCCUAGCUUUUCAAACACCAGGACAGGUUAUUGUCUUUUGUCUUUUUUUAAAUUUUUUAAAAUUUUAUUUUAAAUAAUGGAGUAAAGACUAAUUUAAGGAAAAUUAAAAGUGGAACCAAGUUGGUUAGUUCAAUGUGUUAUAAGAUGUAUUGCUAAGACUUUUACAUCUAACUCCUUCUAACCUUAGGCCAGUUCGUAAUCUGCUGUCAGAUAGGAUAAUGUGCUGCUUUUUGAAAUUUACCAAAAAGCUAAUCAAUCAGAAUAAAUAAAUCAUGAAGUUGUUUAGGACAUAGAGCAUUCCAGAAUCAAUUCCUCCUAUUUAGAUAGUUUAGAGAGUUAUGAAGAUGUUCUGAAAAUCAACAUAGCAAAAUGAAUGCCCAAAUGGAACAAGAACUGAUCUUGAAAGGCCUUCUUGAAGUACUACAGCAAUACUUGAAUAUAAAGAGAGAAGCACUAAAUCUUAGACGGUGUUCAUAUUCAGUGGAAAUUUACAGAUAGGAGAGUAAAUUGAGAUUUAGUGUAUUUUGCAGAAGUGGCUUUUUUGGUUUGUUUGCUUGUUUGCUUAUUUGGCUUUAACAACAGUAUGGUACAGAUUUGCAAAGAGGAGCUAGCUCUGCCUGCACAGCUUGCUAAGGAAAUACAAGCAGAAGAAAUGAAACAGGACUGCAGUUAGUAGCAUUCCAUCAUUCCUAAUCCCCUGGUAUUCUGGUUUGAUCAAUGUUUCACAACUGCAGUACUAAAUGUGUUAAAUGAGCAGUAUACCUGUGCUAGUGAUUCUGUCUGCCCUCUGUAACAUCUGCUUUGGUAUUUUUAUCUCAUUAAAAA
Molecule: long non-coding RNA, 3941 nt
Organism: Taeniopygia guttata (zebra finch)
Lineage: Eukaryota; Metazoa; Chordata; Aves; Passeriformes; Estrildidae
Source: Ensembl